AAGAAAUAAAAAGUAGGGGAGGGGAGAAUGGAGCGGAGCGUUUUCAGGGGGAAGCGGCCACGACUUAUUCCAGUGAAAGUCAACUGAUCCCCCGAGUAAAAAUUCAUGCUCGCAAGACCGCAGACCUUCUCCCCGCCAGUAAACCGGCCAAAGCGACCAAGAGCGGAAGAAGCUCCGCCAUCGGAAACAACGGAGGGAAACCCUGGCUUCUGAUUGGCUAGGAGGGAAGUCUCGGAAGGAGAAAAAUUCUUUGUUGCUGCGAAGUGACCAAUCAGGGAGCCGCUCGUUGUUCGUCGACGUUCCAAGGCGUUCCAAAGUGGGAGGCGCGUCCUUUGAUGUCUAUGGCUGCGGGAGCCGCAGCGAUGGUGCUCGGAAAGCCGCUCGGACCUUGGGAUUUUGGCUGCACUGCAGACAUCAUCAGAACAAUACCACAGGAUCUGUUUGCAGAGCUAUGUGAGCAAACCAUUCAGACUCUUCGGUGUGAGAUCGCAGCUGUGAACACAGUGGAGCUGUGUCAGAGAUUUCAGGCAGCUGGGAUUGAAAUAGUCACUAGUGACCUGGAAAAGGUUGUUAAUGCCAUUUCCUUUGUUUUCAGCACAGCAGCAAAAGAUAAACUCUCGCCAGAAGACCUGUCUACCAGGCUAGGCGGUGCAGCUGGUACGCUGCCGAAACAAGCUGUCCAGGUUCUUCGUCACGUCUGGAACGAACAGGGCCGCUCGAUCACAGUGUCGGAAGAUGCUAAAAAUGUAGCCGUUGUUGGACGGCUUAUUGAUUUUCAGUGGAAGCUGGGGAUGGCCGUGAGCUCCGACAGCUGCAAAUCUUUGAAGUCUCCUUACGUUACGAUGGCAGUAAAAGUGGCAGAUGCUUCAGGCCGCAUCACAAGCAAAACAUUUGAAAUGACGGUCCCACAAUUUCAGAAUGAAAGAGAGAGAGAAUUUGGACAUUAGAGGAGAGAAGGGAGGUUGAAGAAAUGCAGAAGUGUGAAAAAGCCCUGACUGGGGAUUUGAACUUGGACAUACAAGCCAGACACUAACUUCUACAAUCAGUUCAAGGAAAUGGCAGCCGUCCUUGAGACAGUUUGAGCAUCUGCUGCGCAGUUUGUUUGAACCAAAUGAGCUGUUCCUGUUUGCCUUAAAACAUUGUGGUUUUUGCUGCUAAGGGAAGGUGUCAUUUCAGUUUCCUACACGACUUUGCCCAUCUGCUGGACUGUUCCUGUUCAAAGGCCUGUAAAAUGCCUUCUUAUAUACUGAAAUGCUACACAUAAGUAGAAGGACAUGCUGCUUAAGAGCAAUUGUAGUGCGCAUAUGACUUUCACCAUACAGAAGAACCCAGAAAAGUGGGACUGUGCAGGAGAUGUUGCCUGAGUGCUGUUAGCCCACAAUGAUAAAGCUUGUGGUUUCUGUUAAUUUUCAGCUCUAUAUCAUAUUAAUUAGCUUGUUACCCAUGAAACGUGCCAUGCCACAUAUUUUGGGAACUAAAAAUGCUAUUGUUUUCUAUUAAAUCUAAUGGUGGGGGAAAUAGUUCCACCUUUAUUUCCCCUAUUGUCUGCUGCCUUUUGCUUAUGAACCUUAUGACUGUGUGUGAAUGUACUUGUCUGCUGCCGGAUGUUUUAAACACAGUUAUUUUAGGCUGUGAUUUGUAGUUUUCCAUGCAUGCCCUAGACUGCAGAACCUUGAGCCUUCUGAAAAUCAGGAGUGGUCCAAGGGGGCUGCAUCAGAUAGGCAAAACUGUCUGGCUGUCCCCUGUAUGCAUGCAUGUUUCCCCUUUUUAAGAUCCUAGCUAGCCCAUUAAAGGUAAAGGACCCCAGAGAGUUAAAUCCAGUCGCGAAUGACUCUGGGGUUGCGGCGCUCAUCUCGCUUAACAGGCUGAGGGAGCCGGCGUUUGUCCGCAGACAGUUUUUUCGGAUGAUGUGGCCAGCAUGGCUAAGCCGCUUCUGGCAAAACCAGAGCAGCACAUGGAAACAUUGUUUACCUUCCUGCAGGUACCUAUUUAUCUACUUGCACUUUUUGGCAUGCUUUCGAACUGCUAGGUUGGCAGGAGCUGGGACAGAACAAGAGGAGCUCACCCCAUCGCGGGGAUUCAAACCGCCGACCUUUUGAUCGACGUAAGUCUACCUAAAAAGGAAUUCCUGUGACUACUCUGGGGAGAUUCAACACAAUGGUACUGCUUGCCCAGUAGUGAGCUACUGCUAAGAACUAGGUCUCAAGAGACAGACUCUCCUGAGCCUUUAGAGAAUAGCUUGUUUCACGUUUCAAUGUUUUGACAAUAGCUUAAGGUUGAAAGCCAUAUAGUACUCUGCCUGCCUUCAUUGUGCAGCUGGAGAGUCACGUUAUCAGAAUUGUCUCUCCAGAAAAAAGUACCAGUCUUCCCUCUGGAAGGGCUGGCUUAGUUUUUUGUGAACUUCUACCUAAGGCUCGCUGAUAAAACAUGGCACCAUCUCCAACAAUGGCUAAUUUUGCUGCGUUUCUACAUCAGAGUUAAUUACUGGUACCCAACGGUGGCGCUGUGGGUUAAACCACUGAGCCUAGGGCUUGCUGAUUAGAAGGUCAGUGGUUCGAAUCCCCGCGACAGGGUGAGCUCCCGUUGCUUGGUCCCAGCUCCUGCCAACCUAGCAGUUCGAAAGCAUGUCAAAGUGCAAGUAGAUAAAUAGGUACUGCUCCAAGCGCGACAGUAAACAGCGUUUCCGUGCGCUGCUCUGGUUCUCCAGAAGCGGUUUAGUCAUGCUGGCCACAUCACCUGGAAGCUGUAUGCCGGCUCCCUCGGCCAAUAAACCAAGAUGAGCGCCGCAACCCCAGAGUUGGUCACGACUGGAGCUAAUGGUCAGGGGUCCCUUUACCUUUACCCAAGUGCACUUAAUGCAGAUACAGAAGAAUCUGCUCCUGCUGUCACUACUGGAAGAAGCAGAAGGGCUGAGAAGGAAAUACUGCACAGAUGCAACGGCCAGUCUUUGUAGGUGUGCAUACUUUGAGCUCCCAGGAUUUCUUUCCACAGACCUCAUGCAAAUAGACCCUUGCCCAGUUUGAGGAUUACUAAACUAGCUGCAGAGCUGCACAGCCAACCUGUUGUUUUGUGUGUGUGUGUGUGCUUGUGUUUUAACAGUCAUGAUCACAACCUAGCAUACCCAAAUAUGAACCCUAAACACUGACUGACAUGAGCAAAAUGCCAUUGAAACCCAAAGCACUUUCUCCUAAGUACUGAGCCACUGCAGGGCUUUGAGGAUAACAAAUGAUAGGCGGAUUAAGGGAUAAGAAGCCAAAUGAUGAAAUAAGUGGAUAAGCCUGUCAGGAGAUGAGGGGGGAUUAUUAGAUGAGUUGAUUUGAAUGGAUCCCCGGAUCGUGAGACAGGAGAGAGGGAGUGCCGUUUUACUGUUGGGGAUGUUACAUCCCGAUCAUACAGUAAUUGUGUUGUUUAGUCGUUUAGUCAUGUCCGACUCUUCGUGAUACAGUAAUUGUAUUUACCCUCAAAAGAAGGCUGCUGGUUUCAGUAGUUCUUGCUUUCAAAUAAACAGGCUUCAAUUUGUUGUUUAGUUGUGUCCGACUCUUCGUGACCCCAUGGACCACAGCAUGCCAGGCACUCCUGUCUUCCACUGCCUCCCGCAGUUUGGUCAAACUCAUGUUGGUAGCUUCGAGAACACUGUCCAACCAUCUCAUCCUCUGUCGUCCCCUUCUCCUUGUGCCCUCAAUCUUUCCCAACAUCAGGGUCUUCUCUUCUCAUGAGGUGGCCAAAGUAUUGGAGCCUCAGCUUCACGACCUGUCCUUCCAGUGAGCACUCGGGGCUGAUUUCCUUCAGAAUGGAUAGGUUUGAUCUUCUUGCAGUCCUUAAAUGUUUCAAAAGGGGAAGGCGAGAGUUUGGGAACCACUGGUCUAGUGUAUAAGAUGUGCAGCUGUAGUCUUUAAGGCGCCAGCCCCCAACCUACAAAACAAAUAAAACACUACCUCUUGUAAAUUUAUAGUAUUUGGGGGGAGGGAUACCAUAUAGCCUAUAAAACC
This is an RNA transcript of Zootoca vivipara (common lizard), 3989 nucleotides long. It is a transcript of the gene named COMM domain containing 6, with no coding region annotated. Lineage: Eukaryota; Metazoa; Chordata; Lepidosauria; Squamata; Lacertidae. The record is from RefSeq and is a predicted model, not a curated record.